UCAGAGCCACUAACAGCAGCAGGAA
RNAcentral lists this unclassified non-coding RNA (25 nucleotides) under Mus musculus (house mouse). Its description in RNAcentral is "oocyte_clustered_small_RNA10370". The record is from RNAcentral. Lineage: Eukaryota; Metazoa; Chordata; Mammalia; Rodentia; Muridae.